GACGAACGCUGGCGGCGUGCUUAACACAUGCAAGUCGAACGGAAAGGCCCUGCUUGCAGGGUACUCGAGUGGCGAACGGGUGAGUAACACGUGGGUGAUCUGCCCUUCACUUCGGGAUAAGCCUGGGAAACUGGGUCUAAUACCGGAUAGGAGCCAUUUUUAGUGUGAUGGUUGGAAAGUUUUUUCGGUGUAGGAUGAGCUCGCGGCCUAUCAGCUUGUUGGUGGGGUAAUGGCCUACCAAGGCGGCGACGGGUAGCCGGCCUGAGAGGGUGGACGGCCACAAUGGGACUGAGAUGCGGCCCAGACUCCUACGGGAGGCAGCAGUGGGGAAGAUUGCACAAUGGGCGCAAGCCUGAUGCAGCGACGCCGCGUGGGGGAUGACGGCCUUCGGGUUGAAAACUACUUUCGCUAGGGACGGAGCUUUUUGUGACGGUACCUAGAUAAGAAGCACCGGCUAACUACGUG
Molecule: ribosomal RNA, 465 nt
Filed under: uncultured bacterium
Lineage: Bacteria
Description: partial 16S ribosomal RNA
Rfam family: Bacterial small subunit ribosomal RNA
Source: RNAcentral